UAUAUAUAUAUAUAUCCCCAGACAAAGUACCUCAAAGACAAAACUCACUUUGUUAUUAUUUAUUUCUAAGCACUACAGUCCACGUGCAUGUCCAGAUUUAAAUUACAGGAAGACUUCAGUAACUGUGACUGGUGACUAAAAAUAAAUAAAAAUAAAAAAUAAAUAAAUCACAUGUAUUGAAAUAUGCCCAGCAAAUAAGACAGUCCUGGGCACAUGGUUUGAAACAGAAGUGUAAGAAAAACAUUAUCCAUCCUUAUAAUGGUGGAUUUCAAGCACAAGUUAUAAUUAAAUUUGAAGCCGUGUGGCAUUUGUGCACUGACUUAUGGCAGAAUUUUGUAUGUGGUUACUUAUGAAGAUAUACUCUAAAUCACUACAGUUUUGUCCUUUCCCUGUUUUUUAUUUUUAUUUCCUUUUUUAUCAGGUUUUGGCCCAAAUAAAAAGUAGGUGCAAUAGAGUUUUCUUUCAAACGAAUAGCAUUAUGAAAGCACAGAAAUCACUUGUCACAUUUUUCCACACAUGAAACGUCCAACUUAAAUUGCACCAACUCUUUAGGACCAUUUGUGAUGUGUGUAUAGAAAGUGAACUUUGUAAUCUGGGUUUAUGAACUGAGGCAUUUGGAUGAAGUGAACCUAUUACUGCACCAUGUUAUCUUCUAAAGGGGAGUUGUGCUCAUCUGUGCAUGGCCAGAGUCCACACCUUUACCAUGGAUGAGUGAAUUGGUGCAAAUUUGUUUUAAAAAAUGGCACCCAAACAAGUCUUUAAAAAAAUAAUGUAUUGUUCCUCUCCUACAUGAUUCCUUGUGGAGGACCAAAUCAAAUUAAACUCCAUGUAAUGUAAAGUAAUUGUUGCUUCAUGUUUUUCUUUAUGGAUAUUGUGUGUUCAUAUUUAAGACUUACAACAAUAAAAUGUUGUAGCUAAACAGAACAUGCUUUAGUGGUUUAAUUGUAUUGUUUUUUGUUUUGUUGUUUUUUUUGUUGUUGUUUUUUCCAGAGUGGAAUGUUAGAUUAGUAUUAAUGCACCAAAAUGCAAAUUUAAGUCCAAUUUCAGUAAACAUGCAAUUUCAGUAAACAAAUGAAACUGAACUGCAAAAUUCCAAGUUAAAAUCAAAGUUGAAAAAAAAAAAAAAUAAAAAAUUAAACCUGCCUCUUUCUAACAGGCUUGUUUUAUUUAAAUGAUCAUUUUAAAAACUCAUUCUUACUAAAACUCAUUCUUAUUACCAACAUGCUAUACAUGUUUUACUGUAUGCUAUCACUUUACUUAGCUGAGAAAAAGAUGAAAAAUGACAGAUUAUUCUCACAGAUUAACACUUUAAGCAUUCACAGUCAGUACAUACUUAAAGUCACUUUUCAUUGUUUCACUUUUUUCACAUUUAAUUUGAAUGUUUUUCAUUAAAAAAUCCAUUAUUAGGCAUACAGUACAUAUUUGGUAGCUGAAGAUUCAGUGCAGCCUUGAGAUGAUUGGUUAAGUGUUCAAUAUUGAAACUAGAAAAAAAGGUUCUUAGGAGUUGAAUUCUUUUUUUUAUUAUUCAUUGUAACAUUGUAAUUUUAAAAUCUCAAAAUAAAUUUAAGCUGCAAGCAGCGAUGAACAGGCCCUCGCAGCUGGGUGCACGUUGGGGCUGCUCUGCUAGGGGAAUGCCAUAAAAAAUUUUUUAGCACUUUUUAGCAUAUCGUUAUUAGGUGUGUAUCAAGAUGUAAACUGUAUCAUUUCCUGUUGCCAGCAGUGGCGCUAUGACUAAUACUGAAUCUUGGCAUGUAGAUGUCUUCAGGCCUGGACUUGAUGUUGCCUUGUGUACUGGAUUUGUCUGCCUGCCUCUCUUAAUAUAUAAAGCUUAUACUGCGACUGCAUUCAUCUGCCCGCCCCUUAUCUGACACCAGCUAAUCAGCUACUUACUCAUUUGUACCAGACAGCACUAGAUUUAUAUGAACACUCUGAGAGUGCAGGAAUGCUAAACACACAUGACCUGGAGAGAUAUGUUACACACAACAUGGCUGAGGUUAUGCUUUAUUUUUUUACAUAACCAUUUAAAUCUUGUGUUAACUCUGCCAUAUUCUAAUGGUGCAUUAUGUGUAUUAAAAGGAUCCCUCAUGAGAAAAUAUAGAUGGUCAUGUCUUGUUAUUGGUGAUUUUGUAUUUCCAAUUUCAUUUUUAUUGAACAUUUCUGCUGAAAAUUUCUGCUGUACAUUUCUGCUGAACAUUUCUGCUGAACAUUUCUGUUGAACAUUUCUGCUGAACAUUUCUGUUGAACAUUUCUGCUAAACUAAACAUUUCUGCUGAACAUUUCUUCUGAACAUUUCUGCUGAACAUUUCUGCUGAACUAAACAUUUCUGCUGAACAUUUCUGCUGAACUAAACAUUUCUGCUGAAUAUUUCUGCUGCACUAAAAAUUUCUGCUGAAAAUUUCUGUUGAACAUUUCUGCUGAACAUUUCUGCUGAACUAAAAAUUUCUGCUGAACAUUUCUGUUGAACAUUUCUGUUGAACAUUUCUGCUGAACAUUUCUGCUGAACUAAAAAUUUCUGUUGAACAUUUCUGCUGAACAUUUCUGCUGAACUAAAAAUUUCUGCUGAACAUUUCUGUUGAACAUUUCUGUUGAACAUUUCUGCUGAACAUUUCUGCUGAACUAAAAAUUUCUGCUGAACAUUUCUGUUGAACAUUUCUGCUGAACAUUUCUGUUGAACUAAACAUUUCUGCUGAACAUUUCUGCUAAACAUUUCUGCUGAACAUUUCUGUUGAACAUUUCUGCUGAACUAAACAUUUCUGCUGAACUAUACAUUUCUGCUGAACAAUUCUGCUGGACAUUUCUGCUGAACAUUGUUGAUUUUGUAAGGUUUUGUAAGGAUUUAUUGUUCUGAGAUGUUAUAGUGUGUGUCUCUUAAUAAUGUGAUUUUUCACAUCUGAUGUAUAAAAAAGGUCAUAUUGAUUCACUCAAGAUUAGGGUUUAUUUUUCAAAAAUUUGGUGCAUUGUAAUAGGUGGUCUGCAUUUGUCAGUCUUUACACCCAUGGAUUAUAUGCAUUAAAUACUGAUGUUCUAAAUAAAUGAAAUCGACUGCACAGGUAUUUUGUGAAGCUAUUUCUAGGUUGCUUAGAGCUGAAAGCUAUGGAUUAAACAAAGAUAAAACUUCCUAAUUAGUGUCUAUAACACUGAAAAGUCACAGCGCUCUUCACUACAAUGCACACAUGAACAGCCUUAACAGACAUGACUUAUGGGAAGAAAUAGUACAUGUGUUAAGUAGUGAGGCUCAACCAAGAUGUGAUUUCUGAUCAGAAACAAACGAAAAGCCAUCUGGGAGUGAGAAAAGGAAGGAGGCAGCUGUCUUACUAAUUAAAGACCUCAGUUUCACUCGGAUAAAGUGGCUUUAAACACAGCCUUCUUUCUGGCUUGGCUGAUUGUUCGACACAGACAAACGUCUGGAGCAGUUUUAGAGGAGACAUGCGAAUUACAUUCACGGUGUGUUCUCUUGUUCAGCUACGUAAAAGGCACACAUCAAAAUAUUUCUGAGUUGGAGCCCAGUGAGGGUGGAAGAAAGGAAUUUCUUCUGAAAGAAAAAGCUAGGUAUAGGUGUAUUUUUACUUACUGCUUUGCAUAUUAGAGAAUAAAAGUGAACACACCACACACAUAUGCUUUUCAUACUGAUAAAUCCAAGGUUUGUGACUAAACAACCUGGCAGGGAGAAGUAGAAGUUGCUCAGGAGGAAAAUAUCACUGAAAAGCAGCUGGUAAAUAUUCAAAUGCUUAAAGAGACACCAGGGGGAAACUAUAAAUCUAAUAAAUCAUAUCAUAAUAAAUUAUGUGACAGCCAUGUGUCUUCAGUCUCCACCCUGAGUGAUUAUUACAAACACAAAAGGGAGAAACGAGGGAGCC
This is a long non-coding RNA of Ictalurus punctatus (channel catfish), 3857 nucleotides long. The record is from Ensembl. Lineage: Eukaryota; Metazoa; Chordata; Actinopteri; Siluriformes; Ictaluridae.